RNAcentral lists this unclassified non-coding RNA (552 nucleotides) under uncultured Bartonella sp. Its description in RNAcentral is "partial 16S-23S ribosomal RNA intergenic spacer". The stretch from base 100 to 173 matches the Rfam family "tRNA". The record is from RNAcentral. Lineage: Bacteria; Pseudomonadati; Pseudomonadota; Alphaproteobacteria; Hyphomicrobiales; Bartonellaceae.
CAAAACAAGUCCACCGUGGGCUUUGAAAAACGCUUUCCUUGAUAAAAUUUAAGCGUUUUAUAAGAGGAUGCCGGGGAAGGUUUUCCGGUUUAUCCCGGAGGGCUUGUAGCUCAGUUGGUUAGAGCGCGCGCUUGAUAAGCGUGAGGUCGGAGGUUCAAGUCCUCCCAGGCCCACCAGUUUAUCCUUUACUUUCAUAAGUGCUUUUAAAAAAUAAGUACUUCUAAAAAGAUUGCUUCUAAAAAGCUUAUCAAAAUUGGCAGGCUUAUUGCUUUUGUGUGAGUAAUCCAAAGUUAAAGCAAAUUAAUGGCAAAAAAACAGUUCAAAUGCUAAAUACUAAGGAGUCAAAAUUCCUUGCAAAGUGAUUUUUACAGCGUCCAUUUGGUUGAUAUAAAUUCCAAAUGCUCAUAGACGUCAAUGCCUAUAUGAAACUAUCGGUUCAAUCAUAUCGCUUUGAGUUAUAUAGAUUUUGUAAUCCCUCUUUUGAUCGUUUUAAACGCUUUAUUCUGAUUUAGGGGCCGUAGCUCAGCUGGGAGAGCACCUGCUUUGCAAGCA